Molecule: long non-coding RNA, 980 nt
Organism: Dermacentor silvarum
Lineage: Eukaryota; Metazoa; Arthropoda; Arachnida; Ixodida; Ixodidae
Exons: 3
Source: RefSeq, a predicted model, not a curated record
ACAGCUGACAACGCAGAAUUUGCUAGUGUGCGAUGAACCGAUGUCGUGUAUGUGGUGUGCGCCUUAUGUGUCGUCUGAUUCUCAGAUACUCUUUAGGUUCUCCCCAUAUCUAGGCUGCAUCACUAACAUCGGGUGGUUUUUCGCAGACUGAUAUCCCGCGCUAUAAAUUCAUUAAAGCUUCUCGUUCACUUACAAUGUGCGCUGAUACUCUGAGCCCACCCAGUCCUUUCCAGGCGCUAUAUGCCUGUGCGGCCGAGCAUAUGCGUACGUCAUUAGUGUAUUGAUUGCUUUGACAUAUCACCGGAACAGACUGCACUAACAUGUGCGCAGCUAGGUAUCCCAUUUGGCGGUACGUUGAAAGCUAUGCUAGAAAUGCACUACAUUACUCAUCGUCGCUGGCCAUAAUGCUAGCGCCUGACGUGCGUGCUAACGGUUUUUACAAACACUGCGUUCAUCCAAGUGUGCACUCCUGCUCCAUGCGAUAGCCCACAGCGUUUGUAAUACAGCGCGCCAAGGCAUUUCCUUUUUCCAUGGAAAGAACUGAAAAAUGGAAGGUUAAAGCAACCGGUUUCGCGCGCAUGGAACGCAGAGAGAGAGAGAGAGAGCGACAAUAAAAAAAAGAAAAAAAAAAAGAAGAGAAACGGGCAAAGGCGCUCAGAUUUCUCGGAGCACGUACGCCGUCGCCGGCCGGAGCGCCUGCGCAUGCGCAGCGGCAGCAACGGCGGCGCGCCAUCUCUCCGCGUCGAUUUGAAUUCUCAACGGCUGCGCCAGGCAAGUCAACGCUUGUUGCUGCUGGUGAGCUGCCUGCACCUUGGUGUCUGUGUAUUCGUCUCGACUUUGUGGCAUCACACGUCAACUACACUGAACGCGGGUGUCAUAGACUGCCAGGGAAUUUUCAUGAAAACAGCCAGGGAAAGCUUGGAAAAACAUCAGGGAAAUUGAAAAUGACAACAUAGCAUGCACCUGCAGCACCUUCGGAA